This is a long non-coding RNA of Bufo bufo (common toad), 901 nucleotides long. RefSeq lists it as uncharacterized. The transcript has 2 exons. Lineage: Eukaryota; Metazoa; Chordata; Amphibia; Anura; Bufonidae. The record is from RefSeq and is a predicted model, not a curated record.
UAUACUGAACGCAAAAUACUGUUGUGUGCAUGAGCCCUUAUACCGAGUCUGGUAUUUGGCAGGAGCGAUUUGAAGUAAAUGCAUAAAAGAACAUGUGUUGUGCUAAAGAGAUGCAAGAAAUCCUUGAUUAAUAAGAUGUCAGAAAAGGUAUCUGUCAGAGGCCUAUCCCUCUUCCCAUGGUAGUAACCAUGCAUGGUCUGAGCGUGCAGGUUUAUGGAAUAACCUGGGAGAUGGCUGCUUUAUUAGAGUUUAUUCAUCUUAACUGCUUGGUAUUGCAGCUCAGCUCUAUUGACUUGAAUGGGGCUGAGCUGCAGCUAGGCAAUGCCGAUGUAUGGUGAUGUCACAUGGACUAGGAAGAGGCGGUGGUGCUCACGGAGCCCCGGCCUCUUCUAAAAGCUGAUUGGUAGGGGUCCUGGGUGGCGGAGCCAAACUGACCUGAUAUUGUUGACCUACCCUGAGUAAAGGUCAUCAAUAUAAAUUCCCAGAUAACCCCUUUAAUGAUUUGAAUCACAUUAAUUAGAAUCAAAAUCUAAACCAUUUACCUGGUCUUGAAGCCAAUUUGCCGAAACACCUUUUAGUAGAGGGAGCAACAAUGUGACAGUAGCUGGAAAAUGGCAAUGUUGAGCUGUAAAUUCUGUCAUGCUUUAGGUCUGUUUGCAGUAUAUUUCAUAUUGUUUGCAUUCAAAUGGAAGCCAAAGUUUCUCUUUAUAUUGUAUUUUUUUAAUGUUUUUUUAAUUUACAUAUUAUGCAGUUAUUUUAAUAUGUGGCUUUAGUAAGGAUAAGCAACAUUUGCACUAUAUGAACUUAUUUGUAUGCUUGUACACUGUUAUUAGCAAACUGUUAAUAUUCUUUCUUGACCAUUGUUGUUUUUCAAUAAAAUGGUCUUGUGUCUCUGGAGUUA